This 503-nucleotide long non-coding RNA is filed under the name Trifolium pratense (red clover). RNAcentral describes it as "long non-coding RNA (TPRA_LNC000060)". The record is from RNAcentral. Lineage: Eukaryota; Viridiplantae; Streptophyta; Magnoliopsida; Fabales; Fabaceae.
AAAGAGUAUAGGAAAAUAAACCUACUUAAUAAUAUCACCAUUUUUGGUGGCUGCGCAUCACUAGCUUUAUCACCUCCAAAAUCUGUGUUCAAAAGAAGAAAAUGGGUACUACAAGCUACACCAUAUAUAGAUACAUAUUAUUCUUGCCAUCAUAUUCCUAUCUCUUGAUGUCUUCCUCAAGUCAAGGUUAGUUUGGAUUGUGAAUAGCUGACAGGGGCAUCAUUCAUGAUUUUAAAUUCAGGUAAUGAAUAUCAUCUUGUACCCAUUUAUAUAUGUGAACCUAUUUGAACUAGGUAAUCCAUUAUGUAUCAUUGAUAUAAAAGAUAGUCAUUGUUUUCUAACAAUGAUCGAUACUGUUAAUAUUUUCUCACUAAGGCUUGUGAUAUUUAUAAUAAAGGCUUACCAUAAAUGGAUCAUUUGAUAAUGAAUGAACGGUUUAGGAAUAACUGCAUCUUUAUUUGAUUAUGCAAAUCAGAAAUGUUUACAUUGUUCCUAAUUGUNNN